Molecule: non-coding RNA, 72 nt
Organism: Planctomycetes bacterium GWF2_41_51
Lineage: Bacteria; Pseudomonadati; Planctomycetota
Source: Rfam
GCCGGUGUAGCUCAACGGUAGAGCGCGGCUUUCGUAAAGCCGAGGUUUUGGGUUCGAAUCCCACCACCGGCU